Priapulus caudatus is the source of this 511-nucleotide long non-coding RNA. RefSeq lists it as uncharacterized. The transcript has 3 exons. The record is from RefSeq and is a predicted model, not a curated record. NCBI's taxonomy places the organism in Eukaryota, Metazoa, Priapulida, Priapulimorpha, Priapulimorphida, Priapulidae.
CUCAAGCGUAAAGAAUGGACAGCAGAACAAGAGAAAACCCAAUUGAAUCCAUAACAGAACUAAAGAAAAGUAAAGUGGAAAGCAUCAUGGACUUGGCCAAAGUACGAACACCCCAGGAAUUGAAGGAAACUGGUAAUGGAAGGCAUAUAUUUUGAAUAGUUUUCUGUGCAGAUUUCAUUCAACAAGUGUGUAAAAUGUGUUAACACAGAAGCAGUCGACAAAGUGGCAGAUUCCGCGGGCACCAUAUCUGGGACAUCAUUGCCUAUCAUUUUCUGUUUGUUUACAUUUUGCGGCCAAGAAAAAUGUUGUUUCAUGAAUUCUUGACUGAAUUUGAUGACAAUGUUUUUUUCACAACAGUCUAAAAAUAUACCACAUUAUAGAGCGAAAAAGCCUUGCAAGGAUGUGUUUUUAGCUCCCAGGUCACUGAAACUAGUGAAAGUGUCGGGGCGCGAGCUAUGGAAAUGGGCUCAGUCCUUCAGUCCGUCCGUGCGUCCGUCUUGAUGUCUACAUA